This 1233-nucleotide long non-coding RNA is filed under the name Capsicum annuum. RNAcentral's name for it is "long non-coding RNA (CANN_LNC006892)". The record is from RNAcentral. Lineage: Eukaryota; Viridiplantae; Streptophyta; Magnoliopsida; Solanales; Solanaceae.
UUGUUGUGAAUUAGUCUAGUUUUAAUUGAGUAAAUAAAUGUAUCAAUGAUGUCAGUGACAUGUUUUAUAUCACGCUAAGAUGGUAACAUCUUGACUGAAUUGCUAGGAUUUGUCUGAAUUUUCAACUUUACUUAAUUUUCUAUCAUAAUUAGAAUUACCUUUUUUGAUAGAAAGAAGUUUCCUUGUUGGAAAAGAUCUCUUUCCUAUUAGAUUUCUAUUAGGUUUAUUCUUUUUUUUAAGGGUUUUGUAACUCUAUAAAUGAUCUCUCUUCUCAUACAAAACAUAGCAGCAUCCACAAUGUAAUCUUUAAAGAAUUUUUGUUUAGGGGAAGAUUUCUCCUUAUAGGUUUUUGGUUUUUCAAUUUUAUUUUUAAUAUGUAGGCCGUUUGGACAAAUCAUAUCAAUAAUAUAGUUUUUUAGUAUUGUUUUAUUUGUCAUCUGAAUUAUCACCAUUUUGAUUUGCAAAUUUUAAGCUUCUGCAGGAUGUCCUCUCGAUUUUGAACCCAACAAGUGGUAUCAGAGCUUACGGUUCAAAGAUCUAGUGGAUUGGUAAAACGAGGUUGAAGACAAGUCUAAGGUGGUUCUAUCAAUUUGCAAUCAAUUGGAUGAUAAUGAAGAAAUUUUGCAAUCAAUUGGAGAACAAGUUUCAACCAUAUUUUCAACAUUUCUGUUCCUGUACCUUUAAAAAUAAAAAACAAAUAUUAAUUUUUUAAUUUAUUUUUAAUCAUGAUAUUUUAAAUAUUAUUUUUACCAUGGCAAGAAGCAAUUAUGAAGAUUAUAUCAAGAAUGAAGUUCAUGCAUGUGAUGUGAAGAAGGUGGAUCAAGUGAAGAAAAUGAAACCAAAAAGGGUAUAUUUGUUAGGGUUUUUGCCCUGAUUUUCUUACAAAAAUUAAGUCUUACUUUUUUUUGUAAGGAAAAUAAAAGUAACCAUAAAUACUUUUAAUUUUCCUAAAAGAAAAAUAUAAAACAUUUUCAUAUUUGACUAACCUCUUUCUAAGAGGAAAGGUUUUGAACAUCUAUAAAUAGAAGAUCCCCUUCUCAUGUCAUAACACAAUAGCAUCCACAAUAUAGUCUUUUAAGAGUCAAGUUUAGGGGGAGAUUUUCUCUCUCAUUAGUUUCUAUGUUUUAAAUUUUAGUUUUUAAUAUGUAAGCCAAUUGGCCAAAUCAUAAAUAAUAUUAUUUUUUUUUAGUUUAGUUUUGUGUUGUCUGAAUUAUCGUCUUUAUGAUUUGCAAA